This 253-nucleotide ribosomal RNA is filed under the name uncultured bacterium. Its description in RNAcentral is "partial 16S ribosomal RNA". It matches the Rfam family "Bacterial small subunit ribosomal RNA", at positions 524 to 776 of the family's 1533-position model. The record is from RNAcentral.
UACGAAGGGAGCUAGCGUUGUUCGGAAUUACUGGGCGUAAAGCGCGCGUAGGCGGGCUAUUAAGUUAGGGGUGAAAUCCCAGGGCUCAACCCUGGAACUGCCCUUGAUACUGGUAGUCUAGAGAUCUAGAGAGGUGAGUGGAAUUCCGAGUGUAGAGGUGAAAUUCGUAGAUAUUCGGAGGAACACCAGUGGCGAAGGCGGCUCACUGGCUAGAUACUGACGCUGAGGCGCGAAAGUGUGGGGAGCAAACAGG